Molecule: ribosomal RNA, 549 nt
Filed under: uncultured bacterium
Lineage: Bacteria
Description: bacterial SSU rRNA
Rfam family: Bacterial small subunit ribosomal RNA
Source: RNAcentral
AGGGAAUCUUCCGCAAUGGGCGAAAGCCUGACGGAGCAACGCCGCGUGAGUGAAGAAGGUCUUCGGAUCGUAAAACUCUGUUAUUAGGGAAGAACAAAUGUGUAAGUAACUAUGCACGUCUUGACGGUACCUAAUCAGAAAGCCACGGCUAACUACGUGCCAGCAGCCGCGGUAAUACGUAGGUGGCAAGCGUUAUCCGGAAUUAUUGGGCGUAAAGCGCGCGUAGGCGGUUUUUUAAGUCUGAUGUGAAAGCCCACGGCUCAACCGUGGAGGGUCAUUGGAAACUGGAAAACUUGAGUGCAGAAGAGGAAAGUGGAAUUCCAUGUGUAGCGGUGAAAUGCGCAGAGAUAUGGAGGAACACCAGUGGCGAAGGCGACUUUCUGGUCUGCAACUGACGCUGAUGCGCGAAAGCGUGGGGAUCAAACAGGAUUAGAUACCCUGGUAGUCCACGCCGUAAACGAUGAGUGCUAAGUGUUAGGGGGGUUCCGCCCCUUAGUGCUGCAGCUAACGCAUUAAGCACUCCGCCUGGGGAGUACGACCGCAAGGUUG